ACGUCUCAGAGGAAAGAGGGGGCGGGAGGAAAGGGAAGGGGUACGGGAGAAAGACAGGCAGGCAGGCAGGGUGUUUCCUUAACUCCAAGGAAGAGUUUAAUCAAGUUAAUAUAUUAUUGUGGGCUAUUAAAACGAUACACCACUGGGAAACCGUACGUUAUCAAAUUUUAAAAGACACAAACAAGAGAAGGAGACCGCGAUGUUGGGAAUAGGAAAACUGCACCACGGUCUGGAAUAGGGUGAAGGAUGGAGGGAGAGACGGAGAAGGAGACAGCGGAGGAGAAGGAGAGUGAUGAGACACAGCCGUUUGCUGGGGAAGGGGCAGGGCGACUUCGUCAGAAUGGAGAGUCCUCCGAGGACGACCAGGACCUACCCAUCAUGCACUGGGAAGACCUGAGCCUGAGGAUCGCUGAACUGGAGAAACAGGAGGAGGAGAGGAGAGAAAGGGCAAAGAGUACGAGUGGGUCGGAACAGGGGAGUGUGUCAGGGGGCUGGGCGGAAGAGAGGCAGGGUGGGCUGUGGAGGAAAGAUGAAUGGGAGGAUGAGGAGGACUAUGGAAGAUGUCGAGUCACGGUCGUCUCGUCUAGAUUCCACAACCAAAAAAAUCUACAGUUAUGCUACAUCAACAACAGUGAGAGUGAGGAUGAGGAGGGGGCUGUCAAAGAAGUGAGCGAGUCCCUCCUGUUUUAUAGUAUAGCGCAAAACGGGGACAAAAACCUACACACAUUGCGGCACUCUAGGGCCAAAUAUGAAGAUAUGCAUAUGUACCCAUGCCAUGCGUUUGUUUUGUUUCAUGUUUGUCAGGGUUCUAUAGGACCAGGUAGCUAUGGUUACCACCCCUCUGGCCUGAAGUUGGAAGUGAGGGCCGCGCUGAGUGCGCUCAAAAACAAGCUGUUAGCUGAACAGAAAGAGGAGGUGAGAAGAAUGGAGAAGUGUGGACUGUGGAGUGAAAGAAAUAGGGUUGGAAGAAAUAGAGGGAAACAGUGGGCAUGUGGUGGGAGAGAGGUAAGGAUUGGUAUGUGUAAAUAAUUCCUGUGUGUCACAGCACCUUGCCUGCAGUAGUGUGAUCACUAAGAGGACGCAUCUGGAACACUGUGACCUGCAGACCUGCUCAAUACAGCAGCUCAACUCCCUCAGGACCUCACUCAACCACGACAUACACGACCUGAGCUCAGAGUUGGUGGGUCACCUGUUGAUAAGGGACCAGCUGAGAACCAAACAGGAUGCCAUGCUCCUGGACGUACAGGAUCUGACAUAACCCUCACCCACAGGUGCACAGGACAGGAAGUCGUUGUGCUCAACAGUAGAUAAAGUGAUGCUGUCCAAGAUAUGCCACUAUGAGACUGUCAGAAGUGUUGCCAUAAUAUCCUACUUAACAUAUGAUUCUUCGAUAAAAAGGAGAAAUGUUGAUGAACACUAAUGAGCACCAUCUUGGACCGGCAUCAUAAAGCAAUCCACAUUACACAGGCAUGGUAUGGAUGCUCAGCUAUGAAAAGCCAACUGACAUUUACUUCUGAGGUACUGACCUGUUGCACCCUCUACAAUCACUGUGAUUAUUAUUGGACCCUGCUGGUCAUCAAUGAAUGUUUGAACAUCUUGAAGAACAAUCUGGCCAUGUACUCUUAUAAUCUCCACCCGGCACAGCCAAAAGGGGACUGGCCACCCCUCAGAGCCUGGUUCCUCUGUAUGUUUCUUCCUAUGUUCCUGCCUUUCUAUGGAGUUUUUCCUGGCCACCGUGCUUCUACAUCUGCAUUGCUUGCUAUUUGGGGUUUUAGGCAGGGUGUCUGUAUCUACUUACAUCUACUGAUGUAAAAAGGGCUUUAUAAAUAAAUUUGAUAGUUAACUUUCUCCUCAUCAUCCCCCCUGAUCUCGAAUAGCAUAAUCUUCAUUAUCAUCAUUAGUGGAGAGAGUACUGUAUUAGGACCUAUUUUGAUUGAUGCAUGCACUUAAUUAACAAAAAAGAUUUCAUAUCAGAAAGAGGAGUUUAAGCCAUUUGGGAUGUUUGAAACAUUUCUAAUAUCUGACUCCUAGUCCAUUGCCAGUGGUAAGAAAAAUCAUAUUUUUCUUGGGAGAACCUUCAGACGGAGAAUCUUCACAGCCAUAGUUUAAACCAUUUACAUAUCUGAGGGAUACCAGCUUUUCCACAAGUUUCAUUGUGUAAAAAUUGCAAUAUCCUUGACUUAUUAAUGUAAGGGAAUUGUACACUUACAGCCUGUGUAAAACAAGCUAAGGGGUUACAUAUAGGGGUUACAUAUUCAGGCUAAAGGGAACUGUCCUGUAACAAUUUGGUGGAGAAGCUUCUUUGUUUCUAAUUUAGGAGAAUUAUCCUCUUGUAUAGUUGCUGAUGUAAGGGAAUUGUCCACUUAUAUUGCCUAUAAGCCUUUGGGUAUUGACAUGUAUGUUGACUCAUGUGAUAUACCUAGGUGGUUUGCGUCCAUAACUAUAACUACUAUCAGUAUAGGAAACCACAAAGCUGCUAUUGUGUGAUUCCAUGUGAGCAAAGCCCGAAAAUAAUUUUGUAUCUCAGAUUGUUCUGGCAUUUAUCACAUAGAAACGUCAUUGGGAAGAUUAAUGUUUGAUAGGCUUUUUACAUUUGUGAAACAGACCAUUUUUUGGAAAAUUAUUAUAGUGGUCAUUUUAGGCCCUUUUUAGAAAUAUUGAUUUAAACAAUAUACUCUACAAGUACAUCAACGUUCCAGAGUGGGCUCUCUGCUACCUUAAACCAGUGUCAAUUUCUAUGUAUUAAAUUGAUAAUUUCUUCAAAAUUAGCAGAGCCCGCCUUGGAAAUAUGUGUUUGAAGAGUAUAUUGUUCUGAACAAGAUGUCUAAAAAUAAGCUAAAUCAAAAAGGGUACCUUUGAGAUGUUGAUAAUAUUUUUAAUGUUGAAUAAAUUAAUGGGAUUUUUUUUUCUCAGAAUACAGCCAUAAUCCAUAUUUGAAAGCACACUAUAAGGAGUAUAAUUACACCAAGAUGGCUGUACCAUGUACGGUUCACAGAUUAUAGGGUCUAAAAGAGCCUAAAAUGGCCACAUUCAUCAGAUUUUCAAAAAAAUGGUUUGUGAUACAAAUGUAUAAGGCAUGUUAAACAUCCUUCCUCUCAAUUAAGUUUUUAUGUGAGAAUUGCCAGAACAUUUUGAGAUAAAUUGGGCCAUGCUGGAGUGGAAUUGCCUUGUUCCAUUCAUUAUGUCUAGGUAAAAGAGAUUUUCCUGACCAUGCGACCUCACCAGUAGCAAAAACCAGGCUCUAGUUACUGACCCCCUCUUUCCUGUUCAAGUUAUAUAGUCAGGUAAAACUCCUGGCCAUAUGACCUAUUGUGCCUUGUCAAGCAAUUAUUAAAUGUCGUACUUUCACAAUCUUGUGUAUUUGUAGGUUGAUGGAAGAAUGAACUGUGAUAGCAGAUGCAUAGCUAUGGGAAGGGGAUGAGUGCCCUGAAGUAACAUUUAACUUUUUUGUCUCUGAAGUAUUUUUCAGUAUUUACUUUAAAAAAAAAAUUUGCAUUCAUUAAACCUAUUUCAUGUUGUGUGCUGUCA
Oncorhynchus kisutch (coho salmon) is the source of this 3528-nucleotide RNA transcript. It is a transcript of the gene named schwannomin-interacting protein 1, with no coding region annotated. The record is from RefSeq and is a predicted model, not a curated record. Lineage: Eukaryota; Metazoa; Chordata; Actinopteri; Salmoniformes; Salmonidae. The transcript is spliced from 5 exons.